GCCGGGCAUGGUGGUGCAUGCCUGUAAUCCCAGCUACUCAGGAGGCUGAGGCAGGAGAAUCGCUCGAACCCGGGAGGCAGAGGUUGCAGUGAGCCAAGAUCUUGCCACUGCACUCCAGCCUGGGUGACAGAGCGAGACUCCGUCUAAA
Molecule: small RNA, 148 nt
Filed under: Pongo abelii (Sumatran orangutan)
Lineage: Eukaryota; Metazoa; Chordata; Mammalia; Primates; Hominidae
Description: Metazoan signal recognition particle RNA (ENSPPYG00000041391.1)
Source: Rfam by way of RNAcentral